UACGGAGGAUGCAAGCGUUAUCCGGAAUGAUUGGGCGUAAAGCGUCCGCAGGUGGCUGUGUAAGUCUGCUGUUAAAGAGUGAGGCUCAACCUCAUAAAAGCAGUGGAAACUACACGGCUAGAGUGCGUUCGGGGCAGAGGGAAUUCCUGGUGUAGCGGUGAAAUGCGCAGAUAUCAGGAGGAACACCGGUGGCGAAGGCGGAUCUCUGGGCCUUACCUGACGCUCAGGUGCGAAAGCUAGGGGAGCGAACAGG
This 253-nucleotide ribosomal RNA is filed under the name uncultured bacterium. RNAcentral's name for it is "partial 16S ribosomal RNA". It matches the Rfam family "Bacterial small subunit ribosomal RNA", at positions 524 to 776 of the family's 1533-position model. The record is from RNAcentral.